RNAcentral lists this long non-coding RNA (877 nucleotides) under Eucalyptus grandis. RNAcentral's name for it is "long non-coding RNA (EGRA_LNC006437)". Lineage: Eukaryota; Viridiplantae; Streptophyta; Magnoliopsida; Myrtales; Myrtaceae. The record is from RNAcentral.
GAUUAUGGUUUGUGUUGGGAGGGCUUGUGGGGGUUGAUUUCUGGAAUUAGGGGUGGAAGUGAUUUGUGUUCUCUUACUCCUUGAAGAUUGUAAGCAUGUUGGUUUUGUGGAGGAGUGCUGUCUCCAUUUUGCUCACUGCGUCUGGUGGGUGGGUUCAAUAGUCACGUCUUAGGGUGCAAUUGGAACGUGCUGUUGAACCGGCUCGUGGGUUUGGUGGUUUUGGUGGGUUGGUGACGUUCUUGGGAAAAGCUACUUUGUUGGUGUUAUUCUGGGUUUGGGUUCUGUUUGUUCUGCUGUUAUGUGGUCAUUUAGGUGUUUCUUUUCUGUUGUUUUGGGUGGGAUUGCGAUGGAUUGAGUCCCUUAGAGGUAUGUAUGGGGGAUGUACUUCACAGUGUGAUAUUUGAGAAUGAACCCAUGACCUGGUCUGCCGAGCCUGUGGUGUAAGCUGGGCCAAUUGGAAUGAAUACGUCUUGAGACUUGCCAGUUGCUUCCUUUGGGUGGUUUGGUUUAUGUCAAAUGGUGAUGAUAUGUUGCAACAACAGUAUUCCGCCCUGGAUAUUUGUUGCCGAACUCUGACCUGGUCUUUUAACCAUUAGAAGCUUUACCUCAACUUGCUUGUGCUUUGUAGUAUUAGGAUUUCUUUGCAUGUUUUGGAGCUAAGCGACAGGACUGAUGGACUCUUCCUUUUUCGAGCUUCUGCUGGUUGAUGAUUGCUCUUAGUUUGGCGGAACAAAGCUGCAGAGUGUGAUUUGAACAUCACAAACUAACUUAAUGCUGCUUUUGACGAAAUUAGUUUGUGCAAGGGUCACAGUCAUUUCCUAUUCUUGCAAUUGCUGUUCAAUGUUUUUGUUCUCUUUUCUAUAUUUUUGAAUUUCUG